Molecule: ribosomal RNA, 510 nt
Filed under: uncultured bacterium
Lineage: Bacteria
Description: partial 16S ribosomal RNA
Rfam family: Bacterial small subunit ribosomal RNA
Source: RNAcentral
GACGAACGCUGGCGGCGUGCUUAACACAUGCAAGUCGAACGAAGAGCGACGGAUGCUUGCUUCUAUCAGUCUUAGUGGCGCACGGGUGAGUCACGCGUAAUCAACCUGCCCUUCAGAGGGGGACAACAGUUGGAAACGACUGCUAAUACCGCAUACGAUCUAUUCUCGGCAUCGAGGGGAGAGGAAAGGUGGCCGCUACAUGUAAGCUAUCACUGAAGGAGGGUAUUGCGGCUGAUUAGUUAGUUGGAGGGGUAACGUCCCACCAAGGCGAGGAUGAGUAGUCGGUCGGAGAGGAUGAGCGGCCACAUUGAGACUGAGACACGGCACAGACUCAUACGGGAGGCAGCAGUGGGGAAUCUUGCGGCAUGGACGAGAGUCUGACGGAGAAACGCCGCGUGAGUGAUGACCGCCUUCGGGUUGUAGAGCUCGGUUAAUCGGGACGAAAGGGCUUCUUGCGAAUACUGAGAAGGAUUGACGGUACCGGAAUAGAAAGCCACGGCUAACUACGUG